UAACACGUAGGUAACCUGCCCUAUCGUGGGGGAUACCCAGCCGAAAGGUUGGCUAAUACCGCAUAAUCUCGUGAGUUGAAAUACUGAUGAGGAAAGAUUUAUCGCGAUUGGAGGGGCCUGGGUCCGAUUAGCUAGUUGGUGAGGUAAAGGCUCACCAAGGCGACGAUCGGUAGCUGGUCUGAGAGGACGAUCAGCCACACUGGAACUGAGACACGGUCCAG
RNAcentral lists this ribosomal RNA (221 nucleotides) under uncultured bacterium. RNAcentral describes it as "partial 16S ribosomal RNA". It matches the Rfam family "Bacterial small subunit ribosomal RNA", at positions 111 to 334 of the family's 1533-position model. The record is from RNAcentral.